This is a long non-coding RNA of Mercenaria mercenaria, 1499 nucleotides long. RefSeq lists it as uncharacterized. The transcript has 6 exons. Lineage: Eukaryota; Metazoa; Mollusca; Bivalvia; Venerida; Veneridae. The record is from RefSeq and is a predicted model, not a curated record.
AUCCAAAAUCAGCCAGAAGAGCGAAUCACGUGACAUUUGUGUUGCGGGUGAACUCGUGUUCACUCACAAACUCCAACACAUUCAGUUUGUUGUAGGCAGUCGUUGGAGGACAAAGAAGGACGAAGGACGAACACAAUUAAAGGAAGGAUGCUUGGGAGCCAGAGACAGACUUAUAUUCCCAUGGAAAUGAGAAGUGGUGCCAGUCCUUGAGUAGGGAGCCAAACACAAUGCAAGUCCUUCUGUAUGUUCUCUGCCUUCAAUCUUGUAGACCUCUACUGCUAUUGUCUUCAGUAUCUUCUGUUGUUUCGACGUUGACAUUGUUUAGAGAGACUGGCAAAAAAUGACUGAUGGAUAAAACUACAACAGCAGUUACGAGGCUCACAGAACUACCAGUAGAUACUGGAAAUGUGUGGCAGGAUGAAGAGGUUCACCAGAGCAUUGAAUAACUUCCAGCUGGAGCUUGUCUACCACUUUCUGGAGUUCAUUUGAACCAUCUGUAUAGCUAUAGUCAACACCAUAUUUCCGGUAUCAGAAUUUUUUCAAGUUACACAUUGCAGGAGUAGAAUGUCUUGAAAGAUUGAGUGUAGUCGCAAAUGGCAAGGCAGGCUGGUGAGUCUGUGGUUGGUCAUCUACACCAAGAAAUGAGGAGACUUCUUUGUUUGUUCUGAUGUCUGCCAUCUCUUUAGUCUACUGUCCUGAGAACCACCAUGAUGACCUAGUUGUCAGAUUGGGAACCAGAACAUACCCUAUUGAAAAUAUAAGACAUUCUCAUUCUUCAAGUCUGUCGUAGGGUUCACGGAAGUCGUAGCCAAGACAAUACAGAUAAUGCAAACAAAGACCAAACUGAUGGAUGAAGUAUCUGCUAAUUCAUUUGUGUCCCUUGCUUGGAGCUGCUUCCCAUGGAAUUUUUUCACAGUCAUUGACUGUCGACGUGGCAUGAAAAUGGAAUGCACGGAUCAAACAAAGUUUUUUGCCAAUGGAAGAGAUGAGAAUACCAGUGUGAGUAAAGUGUUGAAUUUUCCACAAAAAAAAACACUCUGAGCAUUUUUAUCUCUGGUCAGAAAUAAAAUCAGAGAAAUAAUAGUACUAACUUAUCAACGAUCUAUUUACUGUCUGUAAGUGAUAUUAAGUGAUCAGUGACUGAAUGCUACCAUGGAUCUACUGGCAAGCUGAAGAUACAAAGAUAAAGAUGAUUUAUUAAACUUACUGAACAUGACAUUGAAGAAUACUCAGUUGUGAUAGUGAAAUAGACAUUAAAAAUACUGAGAUCAAGUGCAGAUUUAAGGGUUCAUGAUUGACAUUAACACUUACUGAAUGUAACAUUAAAGGAUGUUAAAGGAUGACAGUGAAAUAGACAUUAAAUCUUAAAGAUCAAGUUCAGAAAUGGUUGUUUAAGGAAAGAUACUGAAAAGAUCAACACCAGCGUGUUAACAAUAAUGUUAGUUUAUUUUAUAGCAUUUCAGACCUGAUCCUCAAUACAAAUUUCGAUGUUGUAGGUA